Molecule: ribosomal RNA, 492 nt
Filed under: uncultured bacterium
Lineage: Bacteria
Description: partial 16S ribosomal RNA
Rfam family: Bacterial small subunit ribosomal RNA
Source: RNAcentral
AGUGAACGCUGGCGGUAGGCCUAACACAUGCAAGUCGAACGGCAGCACAGUAAGAGCUUGCUCUUACGGGUGGCGAGUGGCGGACGGGUGAGGAAUACAUCGGAAUCUACUUUUUCGUGGGGGAUAACGUAGGGAAACUUACGCUAAUACCGCAUACGACCUACGGGUGAAAGCAGGGGAUCUUCGGCCCUUGCGCGAUUGAAUGAGCCGAUGUCGGAUUCGCUAGUUGGCGGGGUAAAGGCCCACCAAGGCGACGAUCCGUAGCUGGUCUGAGAGAAUGAUCAGCCACACUGGAGCAGAGACACGGUCCAGACUCCUACGGGAGGCAGCAGUGGGGAAUAUUGGACAAUGGGCGCAAGCCUGAUCCAGCCAUACCGCGUGGGUGAAGAAGGCCUUCGGGUUGUAAAGCCCUUUUGUUGGGAAAGAAAAGCAGCAGGUUAAUACCCCGCUGUUCUGACGGUACCCAAAGAAUAAGCACCGGCUAACUUCGUG